ACCUCCUCGCGCCCCCCGCCCGCGUUCCCGGGGAAGAAUGUGCGAGUGCGCGCGAGGGCCCGAGUGCGCCGCCGCCGGCGCGCUCUCUGGAGCAGAGACCGCGUGGUGAACCAAAUAAAGUAAAAGGUCUGGCUCCUGCUGGGCGAGGCCGAGCGAGGAACGUGCGCGCCAGAGCAGGGGUGUGGCGAGCCCUCGGUGGCCCAGAAAAGAUCAAACGCGCGUCAGCAGCAGCCGUGGCUGCCGCCUGCAAGGGUCCCUGACGCGGGCCGGGCUGUACAGGGUGGAUUUUCUAAGUUGGAGAUGGCGCAUGACAAGAGCUGCCCCAAAUCAAAUGUCACUCCCUUUUUGGAAAUCAUGAUGCUGCUUUUUUUUUUUUUUUUUGGCUGCAGCUAUAAUAAGCCAAAUGUUCCGUGCUGGUGAAGUAAACACGCGUGUUUAAGAAGCAUCUGUGUUAGCACUAAUGGAUGGUGCAUGCUAAUAAAAAUGUAUU
This 490-nucleotide long non-coding RNA is filed under the name Homo sapiens (human). RNAcentral describes it as "novel transcript". The record is from RNAcentral. Lineage: Eukaryota; Metazoa; Chordata; Mammalia; Primates; Hominidae.